Molecule: small RNA, 2211 nt
Filed under: Pongo abelii (Sumatran orangutan)
Lineage: Eukaryota; Metazoa; Chordata; Mammalia; Primates; Hominidae
Description: processed transcript
Source: RNAcentral
AGACAAUGGAGAAGAGGGCUGGGGAAACAGUUUAGGGCUCAUUUUAUAGGAGAGUUUCUAAUCAUGGAAGCCGGGCAAAGAUGAAAUAGACUGGAACUGCAAUCAUAAAGGACCUCUAGAAAUGGAAGAUACCCUAUUUGUCCUUUCAACCAGAGCUUCCCACCCAGUGGCCAGAGCACACUGGUGGAUGGUAAGAAGAGUUCCUGGGUCAAGCGGUCACCUUCAUAAAACUGAAGACGGGGACUGGGAGUGGAGUGACGAUGAGAUGGAUGAGAAGAGCGAAGAAGGGAAAGCAGCUUUUUCUCAGGAAAAGUCACGAAGAGUAAAAGAAGAAAAUCCAGAGAUUGCAGUGAAUGCCAGCACCAUCCCUGAACAAAUACAGUCCCUCUCUGUGCACGACUCUCAGGGCCCACCCAAUGCUAAUGAAGACUAUAGAGAAGCUUCUUCUUGUGCCGUGAACCUCGUUUUGAGAUUAAGAAACUCCAGAAAGGAACUUAAUGACAUACGAUUUGAGUUUACUCCAGGAAGAGAUACAGCAGAUGGUGUAUCUCAGGAGCUCUUCUCUGCUGGCUUGGUGGAUGGUCAUGAUGUAGUUAUAGUGGCUGCUAAUUUACAGAAGAUUGUAGAUGAUCCCAAAGCUUUAAAAACAUUGACAUUUAAGUUGGCUUCUGGCUGUGAUGGGUCGGAGAUUCCUGAUGAAGUGAAGCUGAUUGGGUUUGCUCAGUUGAGUGUCAGCUGAUGUAUGUCCCUUGAUGUCACCCUGAUCUGUCAUGUCCCACCCCCAUCCCUACUCCCUUCAACCCUCCCUCUUCCCAUUUCCUCCCACCCCCUCACUCCCAUUUCCUAGCAAAAUCAGAAGAUUGUGAAGAGGCCGGCUUCAACAAAAUGGGAUAAAAAAAUAAUAUUUUAAAAUUUACAACACUCCGAGUUCUGCUUUAUUCUCUAGCAAUCCACAGUACAAGAACAAGCAAAUGCCACAGCUGCACGACUGUUGCUAAUUUUUCCAAAAGGUGUUUAAUAUUCUUAGCAAUCAAUUUGGAUAUCCCUUAAGUGAAAAGAAUCUGAAAUACACUCAGGUGGUCUUAUUUAUUGGCAACAAAAGGAAUUUUCUAUCCAGAAGCCUAUUUCUCCUUUCAUUGUUGUUAUUUCUGUUAUAAUACUUUAAUUGUACAUCUGACAGUACUGCCUCUUUUAUGUUGUAUUUAGAAAUUAAUAUACUUAUAAAAUUAAGAUUUAUUAGCCAAACUUGAAUUCUAGUUUUAAAACUGACUGUGAAUUUUAUUUUUCAUAUAUUUAUGCAUUACACACCUUAGCUAUAAGAAAAAAAGGGUUUUGAUUAUAUGCUUCUUGCAGUUAAUCUCGUUAUUUAAACAAAAAGUUUUGGGUCUAUCUUUGGAGUAUUUGUAACUUCUAAAUUUUGAAAUGACUGAAUUAGGAAUUUGGAUGCUUAUUCUUUUAGUCUGUUUGCCUAAAAACCAAUUUACAAUCUGACUGUCUCUUGGGAGAGGGAGGUGCCUUGCAAACUUUCACAUUAAGAAUGUGCCUGAGGCUGCUUUACUCUGAAAUAGUCUCAGAUCUAAAAUUUCCUCUAUAUAAGGUGGCAUAUGUUAAGUUUUGCUUCAUUGGACCGUUUAGAAUGCUAUGUAAAAUGUUGCCAUUCUGUUAGAUUGCUAACUAUAUACCCAUCUCUGAUUUGGCUCUCCUUAAGUGAUAGGAUUUGUUAUUCUAAAGGUGAUAAACUUGAAAAUAUCAGAAUCUGAGUUUUACUUGAAAUUUUGCAGAAUACCCAGGUGGAGUGAAAAUUGGAAGGGUUUUGUGCAAUGACUAAAAGGUAAAACGUUGUUAAGGUUCAAGAAUAAAUACUUUCAACCCAAGUAGCCCUCUGCUUGACUGUAUAUUAUGGAACUAGUAAACCUUAGGAUUUUGAAAAUUGGAGUCUAAUCUUUCAGGGAGGUGGGCUCCCAGGAUGGUACCAUUGCUCUUUCCUAGCUAACCCUAGAUAUGGCAGCUCUUUAAUGUACUUUAAAAAGCAAAUAUAUAUUACUAAGGAAAAAAAGUUAUUUAUAAUUGCCUUGUCAUAAUUGUUAAGGUGUUCUAGAGCCAUUUGCAUACAAUUUAAUGUAAUUUCAUUCCAUUCUAUUGUUUACACAAUGAUUACUCAAAGAUGACUGCAAAGGUAAAAGGAAAAUAAAAGUGUAUUGCACAACGAGA